RNAcentral lists this ribosomal RNA (1338 nucleotides) under uncultured bacterium. RNAcentral's name for it is "bacterial SSU rRNA". It matches the Rfam family "Bacterial small subunit ribosomal RNA", at positions 28 to 1387 of the family's 1533-position model. The record is from RNAcentral.
GACGAACGUUGGCGGCACGCUUAACACAUGCAAGUCGAACGAGAGAAGAGAAGCUUGCUUUUCUGAUCUAGUGGCGGACGGGUGAGUAACACGUGAGCAAUCUGCCUUUCAGAGGGGGAUACCGAUUGGAAACGAUCGUUAAUACCGCAUAACAUAAUUGAACCGCAUGAUUUGAUUAUCAAAGAUUUAUCGCUGAAGGAUGAGCUCGCGUCUGAUUAGCUAGUUGGUAAGGUAACGGCUUACCAAGGCGACGAUCAGUAGCCGGACUGAGAGGUUGAUCGGCCACAUUGGGACUGAGACACGGCCCAGACUCCUACGGGAGGCAGCAGUGGGGAAUAUUGCACAAUGGAGGAAACUCUGAUGCAGCGAUGCCGCGUGAGGGAAGAAGGUUUUAGGAUUGUAAACCUCUGUCUUCAGGGACGAAAAAAGACGGUACCUGAGGAGGAAGCUCCGGCUAACUACGUGCCAGCAGCCGCGGUAAUACGUAGGGAGCGAGCGUUGUCCGGAAUUACUGGGUGUAAAGGGAGCGUAGGCGGGAUCGCAAGUCAGAUGUGAAAACUAUGGGCUUAACCCAUAAACUGCAUUUGAAACUGUGGUUCUUGAGUGAAGUAGAGGUAAGCGGAAUUCCUAGUGUAGCGGUGAAAUGCGUAGAUAUUAGGAGGAACAUCAGUGGCGAAGGCGGCUUACUGGGCUUUAACUGACGCUGAGGCUCGAAAGCGUGGGGAGCAAACAGGAUUAGAUACCCUGGUAGUCCACGCCGUAAACGAUGAUAAAAGGGUGUGGGGGGACUGACCCCUUCCGUGCCGCAGCAAACGCAAUAAUAAUCCACCUGGGGAGUACGACCGCAAGGUUGAAACUCAAAGGAAUUGACGGGGGCCCGCACAAGCAGUGGAGUAUGUGGAUUAAUUCGAAGCAACGCGAAGAACCUUACCAGGUCUUGACAUCGUAUGCAUAGCUCAGAGAUGAGUGAAAUCUCUUCGGAGACAUAUAGACAGGUGGUGCAUGGUUGUCGUCAGCUCGUGUCGUGAGAUGUUGGGUUAAGUCCCGCAACGAGCGCAACCCUUACUGUUAGUUGCUACGCAAGAGCACUCUAGCAGGACUGCCGUUGACAAAACGGAGGAAGGUGGGGAUGACGUCAAAUCAUCAUGCCCCUUAUGACCUGGGCCUCACACGUACUACAAUGGCUGUCAACAGAGGGAAGCAAAGCCGCGAGGUGGAGCAAACCCCUAAAAGCAGUCUUAGUUCGGAUUGUAGGCUGCAACCCGCCUACAUGAAGUCGGAAUUGCUAGUAAUCGCAGAUCAGCAUGCUGCGGUGAAUACGUUCCCGGGCCUUGCACA